Molecule: ribosomal RNA, 253 nt
Filed under: uncultured bacterium
Lineage: Bacteria
Description: partial 16S ribosomal RNA
Rfam family: Bacterial small subunit ribosomal RNA
Source: RNAcentral
UACGAAGGGGGCUAGCGUUGUUCGGAUUUACUGGGCGUAAAGCGCACGUAGGCGGAUUGUUAAGUCGGGGGUGAAAUCCCAGGGCUCAACCCUGGAACUGCCUUCGAUACUGGCAAUCUAGAGUCCGGAAGAGGUGAGUGGAACUCCUAGUGUAGAGGUGGAAUUCGUAGAUAUUAGGAAGAACACCAGUGGCGAAGGCGGCUCACUGGUCCGGUACUGACGCUGAGGUGCGAAAGCGUGGGGAGCAAACAGG